RNAcentral lists this ribosomal RNA (486 nucleotides) under uncultured bacterium. RNAcentral's name for it is "partial 16S ribosomal RNA". It matches the Rfam family "Bacterial small subunit ribosomal RNA", at positions 28 to 523 of the family's 1533-position model. The record is from RNAcentral.
GACGAACGCUGGCGGCGUGCUUAACACAUGCAAGUCGAACGCUGAAGCACCAGCUUGCUGGUGUGGAUGAGUGGCGAACGGGUGAGUAAUACGUGAGUAACCUGCCCUUGACUCUGGGAUAAGCCCGGGAAACUGGGUCUAAUACUGGAUGCUACAUGUCACCGCAUGGUGGUGUGUGGAAAGGGUUUACUGGUCUUGGAUGGGCUCACGGCCUAUCAGCUUGUUGGUGAGGUAAUGGCUCACCAAGGCGACGACGGGUAGCCGGCCUGAGAGGGUGACCGGCCACACUGGGACUGAGACACGGCGCAGACUCCUACGGGAGGCAGCAGUGGGGAAUAUUGCACAAUGGGCGAAAGCCUGAUGCAGCGACGCCGCGUGAGGGAUGACGGCCUUCGGGUUGUAAACCUCUUUCAGCAGGGAAGAAGCCACAAGUGACGGUACCUGCAGAAGAAGCGCCGGCUAACUACGUGCCAGCAGCCGCAGUAA